This 253-nucleotide ribosomal RNA is filed under the name uncultured bacterium. RNAcentral's name for it is "partial 16S ribosomal RNA". It matches the Rfam family "Bacterial small subunit ribosomal RNA", at positions 524 to 776 of the family's 1533-position model. The record is from RNAcentral.
UACGGGGGGGGCAAGCGUUGUUCGGAAUUACUGGGCGUAAAGGGCUCGUAGGCGGCCAACUAAGUCAGACGUGAAAUCCCCAGGCUCAACCUGGGAACUGCGUCUGAUACUGGAUGGCUUGAAUCCGGGAGAGGGAUGCAGAAUUCCAGGUGUAGCGGUGAAAUGCGUAGAUAUCUGGAGGAACACCGGUGGCGAAGGCGGCGUUCUGGACUGCAACUGACACUGAGGAACGAAAGCCAGGGGAGCAAACGGG